RNAcentral lists this long non-coding RNA (200 nucleotides) under Carica papaya (papaya). Its description in RNAcentral is "long non-coding RNA (CPAP_LNC015066)". The record is from RNAcentral. Lineage: Eukaryota; Viridiplantae; Streptophyta; Magnoliopsida; Brassicales; Caricaceae.
GUUGAGGGAACUACAGUAGGUCGAAAUCUCGACCUAAUUUUUAAUUUUCUGAUUUGAAACUCAAACUUAUUUUGCAGAGAUAGUUACAAAUUAAAGGUCUUGCUUCAAAAAAUUGUAAAUUUUGUUGCUAUUAGUUGGGAUGAAUCAUUGAUAUUUAAUAGUUUCAUGUAAAAAUAUCUUGGUGAGAAAAGAUAGAAGAA